UAAACUCCYGUUGUUGAGGAAGAUAAUGACGGUACUCAACAAGGAAGUGACGGCUAACUACGUGCCAGCAGCCGCGGUAAAACGUAGGUCACAAGCGUUGUCCGGAAUUACUGGGUGUAAAGGGAGCGCAGGCGGGAGAACAAGUUGGAAGUGAAAUCCAUGGGCUCAACCCAUGAACUGCUUUCAAAACUGUUUUUCUUGAGUAGUGCAGAGGUAGGCGGAAUUCCCGGUGUAGCGGUGGAAUGCGUAGAUAUCGGGAGGAACACCAGUGGCGAAGGCGGCCUACUGGGCACCAACUGACGCUGAGGCUCGAAAGUGUGGGUAGCAAACAGGAUUAGAUACCCUGGUAGUCCACACCGUAAACGAUGAUUACUAGGUGUUGGAGGAUUGACCCCUUCAGUGCCGCAGUUAACACAAUAAGUAAUCCACCUGGGGAGUACGACCGCAAGGUUGAAACUCAAAGGAAUUGACGGGGGCCCGCACAAGCAGUGGAGUAUGUGGUUUAAUUCGACGCAACGCGAAGAACCUUACCAAGUCUUGACAUCCCUUGACGAUGCUGGAAACAGCAUUUCUCUUCGGAGCAAGGAGACAGGUGGUGCAUGGUUGUCGUCAGCUCGUGUCGUGAGAUGUUGGGUUAAGUCCCGCAACGAGCGCAACCCUUAUGGUCAGUUACUACGCAAGAGGACUCUGGCCAGACUGC
RNAcentral lists this ribosomal RNA (700 nucleotides) under Faecalibacterium prausnitzii. RNAcentral's name for it is "bacterial SSU rRNA". It matches the Rfam family "Bacterial small subunit ribosomal RNA", at positions 426 to 1152 of the family's 1533-position model. The record is from RNAcentral. Lineage: Bacteria; Bacillati; Bacillota; Clostridia; Eubacteriales; Oscillospiraceae.